Molecule: long non-coding RNA, 5426 nt
Filed under: Homo sapiens (human)
Lineage: Eukaryota; Metazoa; Chordata; Mammalia; Primates; Hominidae
Description: HSALNT0242346
Source: RNAcentral
AUUUUUCUAUUUUUAGUACAGAUGGGGUUUCACCAUGUUGGCCAGGCCGGUCUCAAAAUCCUGGCCUUAGGUAAUCUGCCUGCCUCAACCUCCCAAAGCGCUGGGAUUACAGGCAUGAGCCACUGCACCCAGCCCAUAAACAGUGCUUUUUAUUGGGUACUAGAAGCAUAUGAAUAGCAGAGCAUAAACCUAAAUUUGAUCUAAUGACCUUUGACAGUGUUAAAAGCUCUGGAACCUGGAGACAGGAAACCAGUUUUUCAUACUUUUUAUUUUGAAAUUAUUAUAGAUUCACAGGAAGUUGCAAAGAUAGUACAAAGUGGUCCCAAUUUUCUUUGCCAAAUUUCUCUCAAUUUUUUUUUCCAGACAGGUCCUUGCUCUGUUGCCCAGGCUGCUGUGCAGUGGCAUGACCAUAGUUCACUGCAACCUCAAACUCCUGAGCUUCAGCGAUCCUCCCACCUCAGCCUCCCAAGUAGUCCCAUAGUCCCAGCCCCUGAGCUGGGACUACAGGUAUGUGCCACCAUGCCUGGCUAAUUUUUUAUAGAGACGGGGUUUCACUAUAUUGCGCAGACUUGUCUUGAACUCCUGGGCUCAAGCAACCCUCCUGCUUCAGCCUCCGAAAGCACUGGGAUUACAGGCAGGAGGCACCUGACCUCCAAGGGUUACAGGGUUACAUCUCUUUUUUUUUUUUUUUUUUUUGAGAUGGAGUUUCAUUCUUGUCCCCGAGGCUAGAAUGCAGUGGUGUGAUCUCAGCUCACUGCAAACUCCGCCUCCUGGGUUUCAGCAAUUCUCUUGCUUCACCCUCUGGAGUAGCUGGCACAGGUGCGUGCCACCACUCCUGGCUAAUUUUUGUAUGUUUAGUAGAGACGGGGUCUCACUAUGUUGGCCAGGCUGGUCUCAAACUCCUGACCUCAGGUGAUCUGCCCACCUCAGCCUCCGAAAGUGCUGGGAUUACAGGGGUAAGCCACCGUGCCAGGCCCUCCAAGGGUUACAUCUUAUGUAAAGUAUCAAAGCCAGGAAACUGACGUGGGUAUAAUGUGUGUGCCUAAUUCUGUGUUGUUUUAUCACAUGCAAAUUUGUGUAACUACUACCUCUUCAAGUAAAAUGCAGAACUGCUCCCCCACCAAACAGAUCUCUCUGGUGAGACCUCUGUGUAGCCAUACCCACUCUCUCCCCAUCAACAACUAAUGUGUCUCCAUCGCUAUCAUUUUGAGGAGGCUGAGUUUUAAAUCAACUUCCGACCCUCUCAGCAGUGUGACCUUGGAUAAGUCAUUUGUCCUUUUCUGGAUGUUGAUCUUCUCAGCUAAAGUAAGACAAGGUUGGCUCACAUCAACAUUCCUCUUGAAUUUCCACAGGCUGAUAUGAUCUGAAAAUGCUACGGAGAUUAUGAGAAAGAAAAUGGGGUUUUAUGGUGAAAUAAACUAGGGAAAUGAUGCUUUCCAUAAAUACAUAAUGCUUCUUUACCGUGAAUUCUCAGCCCUUUAAUACACUAAGGUGAACUGUGAAUCUUCUAGUGUGGGAGGUAUACGCAGCAUUUUCCAAAUUUAUCUGAACACAGAAUGCUCCCCCCACCCUUAAAAAAAUCCUCUAGAAAAAAAAUCACUUGGAACUAGUUUUUCAGGGAAUAUGCUUAGAGAUAUGCUUUUUCAGGUGACCUCUGAGGUCCUCCUGCCUCAGGGAUCCCACCCAGAUUAAAUGCCUAGAAAUAUAUCCUCCCUCGUGGGUUAAAUUAUGUAUCUUCAGCCAAAACCUACGAGUGUGACCUUAUUUGAAAUAAGGGUCUUUUCAAGUGUAAUUAAGAUAAGGAUCUUGAGAUGAGAUCAUUCUAGUUUAGGGUGAAGUCCAAAUCCAACGAAGAGUGUUCUUAUCAGAGACAGAAAAGGGGGACACGCAUAGACACAGAAGAAAAUGAUAGGCUAGGCAUGAUGGCUUGCACCUGUAAUCCCAGUGCUUCGGGAGGCUGAGGCAGGAGGAUUGCUCAAGCCCAGGAGUUCCAGGCUGCAGUGAGCUAUAAUCACCCCACUGUACUCCAGCCUGGGUGACAGAGCGAGACCCUGUCUCUGAAAAAAGAAAGAAGGAAGGAAGGAAAGAAAAAGAAACAAAGAGAAAGAAAGACAAAGAAAGAAAAAAAGAAAGAAAGGAAGAAAAAAGAAAAGAGAGAGAGAAAGGGAGAGAGGAAGAAAGGGAAGGGAGGGAGGGGAAGGAAGGAAGGAAGUAAGGAAUGAAGGAAGGAAGGGAGGGAGGGAGGGAAUGCUCUGUGCUGUAGAGGCAGAGUCUGGAGGGCAGCCAUAAGCUAAGGGCCACAGCCGCCAGAAGAUAGGCAAGGGCAACCUUAGCCAUGCUUGGAUUUCAGACUUCUGGCCUCCAGAACUGAGAGAUAAUAAAUUUCUGCUCUUUUAAGCCACCCACUCUGUGGUUCUUUGCUACAGCAGCCUGAGGAAACACAUAACCCUCUUUUCAGACUCUUGGGGUAUUUCAUUUUUAUUUAUUUUUUGUAGAGAUGGGGUUUCACUUUGUUGCCCAGGCUAGUCUCGAACUUCUGGGCUCAAGCUACCCUCCCGCCUAGACCUCCCAAAGUGCUGGGAUUACAGGCCUGAGCCACCGUGCCCCGACAAGGGGUUUUUAUUUUUUAAAAGAGCAGUGGCUGUUCACAAGUGCAGUCAUGGUGUACUGCAACCUUGAACUCCUGGGCUCACUUGAUCCUCCCGCUUCAUCCUGCGGAGCAGCUGGGACUACAGGUACAUGCCACCGAACCCUGCAGAAUCUUAGGGGGUUUUGAAGGAAGGAAGGGUCUCGUUUAAGUUUCUCCAGCCCCCAAGCUCCUUCCCUCCUCAGGCCUUUGCAUAUGCUGACCCCUCUGGGAACCUGAAUGGUGAAAAUACAGCAGCCCUGUGAAGACUGGGAGGAGGGCAUUGGGAGGGAGGGAAGUUCCAAGCAGAAAAGCCACCAAAGGCCCUGGGCCAGGCCAAGAUUUGGGAUAGUCAAGUCCCAGAGAGAAGGCAACUGUGGCUGCCACGCAGUGAGAAGGGAGGAGAAGUAGGAGAAGACGCUUGAGGGCAAGGGAGGGGCCACACACUGCCUAAGUCCUGCCAGCUACGGUCAGGGGUUUGAAGUUUAUUCCAAUGGGCAACUUUAAAAAAAAUUUUUUUUUGAAUAGGGUCUCGCUCUGUCACCCAGGCUGGAGUACAGUGGUGCGAUCACAGCUCACUGCAGCUUCAACCUCUUGAUCUCUUAAGCAAUCGUCCCACCUCAGUCUCCCCCUGCCCCACCUCCGCACUACCCCGCCCUGCCAUCGGAUAGCUGGGACCACAGACUCACACCACCAUGAGUGAAGCCAAAAAAUACAAACAUACUUUUUGUAUUUUUUUGUAGAGACAGAGGUCUCUCUAUGUUGCCCAGGCUGGUCUCGAACUCCUGGGCUCAAUCGAUCUUCCCUCCCACCUUGGCCUCCCAAAGUGCUGGUAUUACAGGAGUGAGACAUGGCGCCCAGCCCAUUGGAGGAUUUUUUUUUUGAGACGGAGUCUCGCUGUGUCACCCAGGCUGGAGUGCAGUGGCACGAUCUCAGCUCACUGCAACCUCUGCCUCAUUGGAGGAUUUUAAGCACGGGAAUAACAAGUCUUGUUUGCGCUUUAGAAAGAUCUCCCUAAGUGCAGUGUGUGGGAUAAACUGCAGGGGGUGAGAUGGAGACAAGCCUGGAGGCAGAAAUCAGGUAGUUCAUUAGGAUAGGCUGGGCUAGGGAUGAAGGUGGCUUGGUCGAGGGCUGUAACCGUGAAAUGGGAAUAAGUGGGCCUAGGUCUAUUUUGCAGGCAGCGCUGUCAGGAUGAUGGAGUGAGGGAAAAAGAAAUCACAAUAAUUUCUUAGUGUUUUAGCCUACACAGCUGGGCGAAUGGGGAGCGACAUCUAUUUAUGAUAGGAGACCUUGGGAAGGACUGGAUUUGAGGGGGUGGUGGAGGGAAAUUCGAGCCUGCUUUUGGCUGGGAGAUGCUCAUUAGGCAUCCAAGAGGAGGCGUGAGGUAGUUAAAUAUGUGAAUCUGAGUCCCAGGGAGAAGUCUCGGCGGGAGAUUAAGUCUUGAGAUUCAUCAGACCAGAGAUGGUCUGUGAAGCCGCAGAUCAGGAUGACAGCCACUAUGGGAAUGAACAAAGAUGAAGACCGGAGACCCCAAGACAGACCUCCGGGGCAGCCAUCACUGAGAGAGGGCGGAGGAGGAGGGGGAAGUGAAGGCUCCUGAGGAGAAGGCCAUGUGGAGGAGGGAAACCAGGGGAAGGUGGAGUCGGAGACAUUGGAAGAACAGAUGGGCACACCAACGCCUGGAGAUGUUGGAUGCAGAAGGCGAAAUGUCAGAAGCUGGAGUCCUGCAUCUCAGCUGGAAGGUGAGGUAAGAUUCCUGCUGGUGUUUAUCCCUCUCCUCACUUCCCUCAGCAGCAGCCCCUUUCUCCUCCCCUCCUGCAUCCCUGGAGCAAGUGCCUUAAGGCCUUCCUGCUUCAACAUGCCCCCCACCCUACAGCCUUUCCUGCAUUUCCCUGUCCUCUGGGGAGUCCCUGCAGAUAGAAAUUCAACUGCACAGCCACGAGGAACAUCUCCUUGAUGUUAACUAGACUGUGUUUCUUUACAAAUAUCUGGUGGCAGAUCUCUUCAUUCAUUCAUUCAUUCAUUCAUUCAUGCACCCAUUUAAUCUUCAUUCAUUCAUUCCAUCUUUCAUUAUUCACUCAUUGGGUUUGAGCAACUAAACCAGCCACGAGGGAUGAAAUUCUCCGUCACUGUGAAACUGCUCAUUCACCCAACUAGCCAGCUCACUGUUUCUGUCAUUCAUUAUACACCUCAUAAGUCCUGCAUAGGUCUGAGAUGUGGGCUUCAUGUAUGUCUGGCAGGCAUCCAGGCUUUCCCAUCAUGUGUCUGUCCCCUGGGUCACAUCCAUGUCAGGUGGGUACCACAGUCUAAAGUCCUUGUAUUCUCUUCCACAUACCAGGGCUGAUAAUUUAUCAGUUGCCAUUGAUCAAAGUUCACAAGGCAAAUCUUCAUAAACUUCUAAAGCUGCCUACAGUUUCCCGUAAACAAAUCUCUAAAUUUACAAAAGCAAUGCUUGCUGAUUGUAAAAAACACACAGUGCCAAAGCAUACAAAGGAAGAAGACCCGCUUGCAAUUUGCUACCUACAUCCCACUCUUGGGGCCAACAACUAUUGGAAGUGUGGUGAGUGAUUGACUUACAUCCUUCUAGAUCUUAUCUACAUAUUUGCAAAGAAAAAAUAUACAUAUAUAAAAUAAAAUAUGUGUGGGUUAUAUCCUUACAAACUGAGAUCAUAGGCAGUUCCGCAACUUGCCUUUUCUCUGUAACAAUAAGUGAUGGAUGCUUUGCAGGGUUGGUGCUACAGAUCCUAUUUAUUCUUUUAAAAGGCUGCAUAGGGAGCUCUGGUGGCACAAUGAAUUAGUG